GAAAAACUUGCAAGGCAAAUCAAUUGCUACAGAAAGAGCCAGGAUUCAUCUGCGAGGGACAUGACAGUUGAGGAGAUUGCACAAGGCUUUGUGAAUGUUGCCAAUGAGACCAUGUGUCGUCCAAUACGACAGUUGACAGAAAUGAAGGGACAUGAAACAAGCAACCAUGCGCUUGCUUGCUUUGGAGGUGCAGGUCCUCAACAUUCCUGUGCCAUUGCUAGAUCACUUGGAAUGAAGGAGGUUCUUAUUCACAGGUUAUGUGGCAUCUUAAGUGCAUAUGGUAUGGGGUUAGCUGAUGUGGUAGAAGAGGCACAAGAGCCAUAUUCAGCUGUUUAUGGUCCUGAUUCUGUGAUUGAAGCCUGUCGCAGAGAAACUAUCUUGCUGAAGCAGGUGAAGUCAAAGCUGCAUGAGCAAGGGUUUGGAGAAGCAAGUGUCACCAGUGAAACAUACUUAAACUUAAGGUACGAGGGAACAGACACCGCAAUCAUGGUAAAGAGACCAAUCAAUGAUGAUGGAUCAGGAGGUGAUUAUGCUGCUGAAUUUGUCAAGUUGUUCCAACGGGAAUAUGGAUUUAAACUUCAAAACAGGAGUAUAGUUAUAUGUGAUGUUAGGGUUCGCGGUGUUGGAGUCACUAAUAUAUUGAAGCCUCGAGCCCUAGAUUCUGCCCCUGGUGCCCCUAAAAUUGAAAGUCACUACAAGGUAUACUUUGAGAGUGGAUGGAAUGACACUCCUUUGUUCAAGCUUGAAAAUUUGGCAUAUGGGCAUGUUAUUCCUG
This 775-nucleotide unclassified non-coding RNA is filed under the name Hevea brasiliensis (rubber tree). Lineage: Eukaryota; Viridiplantae; Streptophyta; Magnoliopsida; Malpighiales; Euphorbiaceae. The record is from RNAcentral.